This 301-nucleotide ribosomal RNA is filed under the name uncultured bacterium. RNAcentral's name for it is "partial 16S ribosomal RNA". It matches the Rfam family "Bacterial small subunit ribosomal RNA", at positions 509 to 807 of the family's 1533-position model. The record is from RNAcentral.
CAGUAGCCGCGGGAAUACAGAGGGUGCGAGCGUUAAUCGGAUUUACUGGGCGUAAAGCGUGCGUAGGCGGCUUCUUAAGUCGGAUGUGAAAUCCCUGAGCUUAACUUAGGAAUUGCAUUCGAUACUGGGAAGCUAGAGUAUGGGAGAGGAUGGUAGAAUUCCAGGUGUAGCGGUGAAAUGCGUAGAGAUCUGGAGGAAUACCGGUGGCGAAGGCGGCCCCCUGGACAAAGACUGACGCUCAGGUGCGAAAGCGUGGGGAGCAAACAGGAUUAGAUACCCCGGUAGUCCCUGUCUCUUAUAC